This 345-nucleotide unclassified non-coding RNA is filed under the name soil metagenome. RNAcentral describes it as "partial contains 5.8S ribosomal RNA, internal transcribed spacer 2, and large subunit ribosomal RNA". The stretch from base 1 to 119 matches the Rfam family "5.8S ribosomal RNA", at positions 35 to 154 of the family's 154-position model. The record is from RNAcentral.
GAUGAAGAACGUAGCGAAAUGCGAUACGUAAUGUGAAUUGCAAAUUCAGUGAAUCAUCGAGUCUUUGAACGCACAUUGCGCCCCCUGGUAUUCCGGGGGGCAUGCCUGUCCGAGCGUCAUUGCUGCCCUCAAGCACGGCUUGUGUGUUGGGCCCCGUCCUCCGAUUCCGGGGGACGGGCCCGAAAGGCAGCGGCGGCACCGCGUCCGGUCCUCGAGCGUAUGGGGCUUUGUCACCCGCUCUGUAGGCCCGGCCGGCGCUUGCCGAUCAACCCAAGUUUUUAUCCAGGUUGACCUCGGAUCAGGUAGGGAUACCCGCUGAACUUAAGCAUAUCAAUAAGCGGAGGA